RNAcentral lists this ribosomal RNA (500 nucleotides) under uncultured bacterium. RNAcentral describes it as "partial 16S ribosomal RNA". It matches the Rfam family "Bacterial small subunit ribosomal RNA", at positions 28 to 507 of the family's 1533-position model. The record is from RNAcentral.
GACGAACGCUGGCGGCGUGCUUAACACAUGCAAGUCGAACGGGUCUGCCCUGUUUUUUGCGGGGUGGGUCAGUGGCGAACGGGUGAGUAACACGUGAGUAACCUGCCCCUCACUUCUGGAUAACCGCUUGAAAGGGUGGCUAAUACGGGGUGUUCUGGCUGUGCCGCAUGGUGUGGCUGGGAAAGAUUCACUUUUGUGGUGUUUUGGUGGGGGAUGGGCUCGCGGCCUAUCAGCUUGUUGGUGGGGUGAUGGCCUGCCAAGGCUUUGACGGGUAGCCGGCCUGGGAGGGUGGGCGGUCACACUGGGACUGAGAUACGGCCCAGACUCCUGCGGGAGGCAGCAGGGGGGGGUAUGGCACAAUGGGCGGAAGGCUGAUGCAGCGACGUCGCGUGAGGGAUGGAGGCCUUCGGGUUGUGAACCUCUUUCGCCGGUGAAGAAGGUCCUGCUCUUUGUGGUGGGGUUGACGGUAGCCGGGUUAUGAAGCGCCGGCUAACUACGUG